AUGAACGCUGGCGGCGUGCCUAAUACAUGCAAGUCGAGCGAACGGACGAGAAGCUUGCUUCUCUGAUGUUAGCGGCGGACGGGUGAGUAACACGUGGAUAACCUACCUAUAAGACUGGGAUAACUUCGGGAAACCGGAGCUAAUACCGGAUAAUAUUUUGAACCGCAUGGUUCAAAAGUGAAAGACGGUCUUGCUGUCACUUAUAGAUGGAUCCGCGCUGCAUUAGCUAGUUGGUAAGGUAACGGCUUACCAAGGCAACGAUGCAUAGCCGACCUGAGUGGGUGAUCGGCCACACUGGAACUGAGACACGGUCCAGACUCCUACGGGAGGCAGCAGUAGGGAAUCUUCCGCAAAGGGCGAAAGCCUGACGGAGCAACGCCGCGUGAGUGAUGAAGGUCUUCGGAUCGUAAAACUCUGUUAUUAGGGAAGAACAUAUGUGUAAGUAACUGUGCACAUCUUGACGGUACCUAAUCAGAAAGCCACGGCUAACUACGUG
RNAcentral lists this ribosomal RNA (496 nucleotides) under uncultured bacterium. RNAcentral's name for it is "partial 16S ribosomal RNA". It matches the Rfam family "Bacterial small subunit ribosomal RNA", at positions 29 to 507 of the family's 1533-position model. The record is from RNAcentral.